AAUGAUUUUCUAUUUUAGAAUUCUAGUAUCACUUUAAUGAAAAUUCGGCAUGAGUGUGCAUAUGUGGCACCGAAGCUAAUUCUUUUUGAAAAAGAAAAAACAGAGUCGGCAAAUUAAUUUUCUAGAUGUGCAUUUGUUCAAAACGAUGUGUUUUGAAGAGAACCCCUUCCCCUUCGAUUUCUUUUCAUAACCUGGGGUUUGAAUUAGCAGUAGAAUCUUAUUCUUCGUUCCGUUGUUCCAUCUCAACGUCAACAACAGUCGCUGGUGAUUGUGACGAUGUUGCAAGCAAAGAUGUAAGAGGCGACGACGGAGACUCAAUGGUGGUCGAAGAAGGAGCAGUCGCUGGUGAUGGUGACGAUGUUAGUGGUUUAAUAGUAAGAGCAGGUGUUGGAGCAAUUGCUUUUCGAGGAGAAGCAGAUGAACAAGAACCUCUCCUACGGGCUGUAAAAGACUUAAAAGGAAAGUCAAGUUAGAAAAUGCAAUUUUGUCGAUUUAGAUUAGUUAUUACCUGCAACUUGCUUGAAAAUAUGACUUUGAAAUUAGAAAUCCAAAAAUUCAUAACUAGUUCCUUCUUUUAAUCUUUCUCUUCCCCUCACUCUAUUUCUCUUUCUUUGCCUUACUUAGAAGCAAAACAUCAUCUUCUAAAUGAACGAAAAUAAAAUAGAGCCAUUCAAUCCAAUACGCAAUCCAAUCUCGGUUACCACAAGAACUAUUCUCAGCACAUUCCUUGAAUCCCUCACAUUUCUUACUUUCUAUGCUGUGAAAUUCUAUUAGAUUGCAACUGAUACUAGCUUAUCAACAUGCCAGAGUAAACCUCCUUGUUUAACUCCAAUCUCAAGCACAAAAUCUUCAUCUCGGUGGUGCUGCUGCUUCAUUGGCUAACCGAUGACCGAACGAAAAGGAGCAACGAUUAAGAUUUAAUCUUGAGAGUUCGAGAGAAACAAAAUUUAGAGGUAAAAAGGGUGAUGCAUUGUGUCCAUUAGGCAAGCGAAGAAGAGAAUAAGUUGUUCUGGUUGCAGAGAACGUCAUUGUUUUGAGAGAAAAACAAGGUGGAAUCAAUGAUUUUUGCUGUUCAAUUAUUUGGCUUCUCUAUUUCUUGUUUUUGUAUUAAAUGAGAUGUUUUGAUUUUUAAUUA
Molecule: long non-coding RNA, 1135 nt
Filed under: Ricinus communis (castor bean)
Lineage: Eukaryota; Viridiplantae; Streptophyta; Magnoliopsida; Malpighiales; Euphorbiaceae
Description: long non-coding RNA (RCOM_LNC001326)
Source: RNAcentral